Molecule: long non-coding RNA, 226 nt
Filed under: Theobroma cacao (cacao)
Lineage: Eukaryota; Viridiplantae; Streptophyta; Magnoliopsida; Malvales; Malvaceae
Description: long non-coding RNA (TCAC_LNC003999)
Source: RNAcentral
UUGUCUCCAUCAUCCUCUUCAUCAUUGGCACCCUAGAAAUCUUGAGCAAAAGUGUUGAUAAUAAGUGUGGAAAGAAGAGAUGGAUAUGGGUAAGUGGUAUGGAGAAAGGAAGAUGAAAGGGGAAGAGUAGAGAAGAGACAAGAAGAAAGAUAAAAAGAAAUCUAAAAAUUUGCAUAAAAAAUGGGAUAAAAUUGGAGUGAGAAUGAGGUUUUAUAAUGAAAGGUGA